UAGCUGAUCUGAGAGGAUGAUCAGCCACAUUGGGACUGAGACACGGCCCAAACUCCUACGGGAGGCAGCAGUGGGGAAUCUUGCACAAUGGGGGAAACCCUGAUGCAGCGAUGCCGCGUGAGUGAAGAAGGCCUUUGGGUUGUAAAGCUCUUUCGUCGGGGAAGAAAAUGACUGUACCCGAAUAAGAAGGUCCGGCUAACUUCGUGCCAGCAGCCGCGGUAAUACGAAGGGACCUAGCGUAGUUCGGAAUUACUGGGCUUAAAGAGCACGUAGGUGGUUAAGAAAGUUGGUGGUGAAAUCCCAAGGCUUAACCUUGGAACUGCCACCAAAACUUUUUAACUAGAGUAUGAUUGAGGUAAGCGGAAUUUCUAGUGUAGAGGUGAAAUUCGUAGAUAUUAGAAAGAACACCAAUUGCGAAGGCAGCUUUCUGGAUCAUUACUGACACUGAGGAGCGAAAGCAUGGGUAGCGAAGAGGAUUAGAUACCCUCGUAGUCCAUGCCGUAAACGAUGUGUGCUAGACGUUGGAAAUUUAUUUUUCAGUGUCGCAGCAAAAGCGUUAAGCACACCGCCUGGGGAGUACGGCCGCAAGGUUAAAACUCAAAUGAAUUGACGGGGACCCGCACAAGUAGUGGAGCAUGUGGUUUAAUUCGAAGAUACGCGCAGAACCUUACCAACACUUGACAUGUUCGUCGCGACUCUAAGAGAUUAGAGUUUUCGGUUCGGCCGGACGAAACACAGGUGCUGCAUGGCUGUCGUCAGCUCGUGUCGUGAGAUGUUGGGUUAAGUCCCGCAACGAGCGCAACCCUUACUUUUAGUUGCCAUCAUUUAGUUGGGCACUCUGAAAGAACUGCCAGUGAUAAGCUGGAGGAAGGUGGGGAUGACGUCAAGUCCUCAUGGCCCUUAUGUGUUGGGCUACACACGUGCUACAAUGGCAUUUACAAUAGGAAGCAAGGCGGCGACGUCAAGCAAAUCCUAAAAAAAUGCCUCAGUUCGGAUUGUACUCUGCAACUCGAGUACAUGAAGCUGGAAUUACUAGUAAUCGCGGAUCAGCGCGCCGCGGUGAAUACGUUCCCGGGUCUUGUACACACCGCCCGUCACACCAUGGGAGUUGGUUCUACCUUAAGGCAAAGCUUAAAACCUAUGACCACGG
This 1150-nucleotide ribosomal RNA is filed under the name marine metagenome. RNAcentral's name for it is "bacterial SSU rRNA". It matches the Rfam family "Bacterial small subunit ribosomal RNA", at positions 284 to 1462 of the family's 1533-position model. The record is from RNAcentral.